RNAcentral lists this ribosomal RNA (615 nucleotides) under Ganoderma lobatum. RNAcentral describes it as "eukaryotic LSU rRNA". Lineage: Eukaryota; Fungi; Basidiomycota; Agaricomycetes; Polyporales; Polyporaceae. The record is from RNAcentral.
AAGGAUCAUUAUCGAGUUUUGACUGGGUUGUAGCUGGCCUUCCGAGGCAUGUGCACGCCCUGCUCAUCCACUCUACACCUGUGCACUUACUGUGGGUUUUACGGGUCGUGAAAUUGGCUCGUUCAUUCGGGCUUGUUGAGCGCACUUGUUGCCUGCGUUUAUCRCAAACUCCAUAAAGUAUUAGAAUGUGUAUUGCGAUGUAACGCAUCUAUAUACAACUUUCAGCAACGGAUCUCUUGGCUCUCGCAUCGAUGAAGAACGCAGCGAAAUGCGAUAAGUAAUGUGAAUUGCAGAAUUCAGUGAAUCAUCGAAUCUUUGAACGCACCUUGCGCUCCUUGGUAUUCCGAGGAGCAUGCCUGUUUGAGUGUCAUGAAAUCUUCAAUCUACAAGCUUCUUAUGGGAGUUUGUAGGCUUGGACUUGGAGGCUUGUCGGUCCUUUACAGGUCGGCUCCUCUCAAAUGCAUUAGCUUGGUUCCUUGCGGAUCGGCUUGUCGGUGUGAUAAUGUCUACGCCGSGACCGUGAAGCGUGUUUGGGCGAGCUUCUAACCGUCUCGUUACGGAGACAACUUUAUGACCUCUGACCUCAAAUCAGGUAGGACUACCCGCUGAACUUAA